Molecule: ribosomal RNA, 465 nt
Filed under: Vreelandella stevensii
Lineage: Bacteria; Pseudomonadati; Pseudomonadota; Gammaproteobacteria; Oceanospirillales; Halomonadaceae
Description: partial 16S ribosomal RNA
Rfam family: Bacterial small subunit ribosomal RNA
Source: RNAcentral
CCUAUGGGGGGCUGCAGUGGGGAAUAUUGGACAAUGGGGGGAACCCUGAUCCAGCCAUGCCGCGUGUGUGAAGAAGGCCCUCGGGUUGUAAAGCACUUUCAGUGAGGAAGAACGCCUGGUGGUUAAUACCCAUCAGGAAAGACAUCACUCACAGAAGAAGCACCGGCUAACUCCGUGCCAGCAGCCGCGGUAAUACGGAGGGUGCGAGCGUUAAUCGGAAUUACUGGGCGUAAAGCGCGCGUAGGUGGCUUGAUAAGCCGGUUGUGAAAGCCCCGGGCUCAACCUGGGAACGGCAUCCGGAACUGUCAAGCUAGAGUGCAGGAGAGGAAGGUAGAAUUCCCGGUGUAGCGGUGAAAUGCGUAGAGAUCGGGAGGAAUACCAGUGGCGAAGGCGGCCUUCUGGACUGACACUGACACUGAGGUGCGAAAGCGUGGGUAGCAAACAGGAUUAGAUACCCUGGUAGUC